Molecule: small RNA, 204 nt
Filed under: marine metagenome
Description: Cyanobacterial functional RNA 21
Rfam family: Cyanobacterial functional RNA 21
Source: Rfam by way of RNAcentral
GGAAUGUUCUUUUUUAUUUUAUUCCUUUCAUCAUCUCAAACAUAACCUCUCAUCCAGGAAUUUUGCCAAGAUUUAAUAAAUCAAUUGUCUUGCUUAACCCUUAUAUAAAAAGCAAAUCUUUUUUAAUUAGACACAAAUAAUAUCGGCACAACAGGUUGCUAUAAAAUUAAUGCAUAAAUUUUAUCCUUGAAAACCAUUGCUAUG